This is a long non-coding RNA of Apodemus sylvaticus (European woodmouse), 340 nucleotides long. RefSeq lists it as uncharacterized. Lineage: Eukaryota; Metazoa; Chordata; Mammalia; Rodentia; Muridae. The transcript is spliced from 2 exons. The record is from RefSeq and is a predicted model, not a curated record.
GAAUGAGGUGACCUCGGAUGCAAUGGUGGCUACUUCGUCAGGUACAACAGAGACUCGGCAAACCUGGACCCCCAGGGAGCGCAGCGUCCGGCAAAGAAAGUGAUGCUGAUGCUGAUGCUGAGAGUCUCCGGGCCAGCCUCCAGCUCCCAGCCUCCCAUCUCCCCACCCCCAGCACCCCACACCCCCUCAGCCCUUAAUCCUCUCCCCUCCGCCCCACUCCCUGCCUUAUAAGUAAUCUUUUCAAUGCGUCACUGUGUUUGCUGAAUCACUCCUGUGCUCAGAAACAUGUUGGCUCCAACUGCAUAGGGAAUAAAGUUCAAGCUCUUUUGCAAUCAUUAGA